CCUACGGGUGGCAGCAGUCGAGAAUCAUUCACAAUGGGGGAAACCCUGAUGGUGCGACGCCGCGUGGGGGAAUGAAGGUCUUCGGAUUGUAAACCCCUGUCAUGUGGGAGCAAAUUAAAAAGAUAGUACCACAAGAGGAAGAGACGGCUAACUCUGUGCCAGCAGCCGCGGUAAUACAGAGGUCUCAAGCGUUGUUCGGAAUCACUGGGCGUAAAGCGUGCGUAGGCAGUGUCGUAAGUCGUGUGUGAAAGGCGCGGGCUCAACCCGCGGACGGCACAUGAUACUGCGAGACUAGAGUAAUGGAGGGGGAACCGGAAUUCGCGGUGUAGCAGUGAAAUGCGUAGAUAUCGAGAGGAACACUCGUGGCGAAGGCGGGUUCCUGGACAUUAACGGACGCUGAGGCACGAAGGCCAGGGGAGCGAAAAGGAUUAGAUACCCGAGUAGUC
This 446-nucleotide ribosomal RNA is filed under the name uncultured bacterium. RNAcentral describes it as "partial 16S ribosomal RNA". It matches the Rfam family "Bacterial small subunit ribosomal RNA", at positions 338 to 795 of the family's 1533-position model. The record is from RNAcentral.